This is a non-coding RNA of Bombyx mori (domestic silkworm), 83 nucleotides long. Lineage: Eukaryota; Metazoa; Arthropoda; Insecta; Lepidoptera; Bombycidae. The record is from Rfam.
CUAACUCAAAUUUGUGUGGAGUUAAACGUUUGCCUACGUUUGCCGCUAGGGGCGCUGUUCCAACUGCUUACAAAUUUGAAUUA